This 66-nucleotide transfer RNA is filed under the name Coenobita clypeatus. Its description in RNAcentral is "tRNA-Glu". The record is from RNAcentral. Lineage: Eukaryota; Metazoa; Arthropoda; Malacostraca; Decapoda; Coenobitidae.
GUUUCUGUGGUGUAAUUGAACACGAUACAUUUUCGCUGUAUAGUUAAAAAAAUUUUUUUAGAAGCU